AUCGGAGAGACAGCACAUACAUUAGGUCUAGCCAAAUCAACUAUUUUGGUAUGCUCUUUUUAAAAAAAACAAAAACAAAACAGAAAGAACGCACUGGUGAGCUCAGGAAUACCAAAAGUUCCAGAAGACCCCAGAAAACAACGGUGCUGGAUGACAAGAACACUCUCCAGGAGGGAGGCGGUGUUAAAGUAUCGGCGUGAAAGUCAACAAUCCAGAGAAGUCUUCGCCGGGGUAAAUACAGACGGUUUACUACGAGAUGAACACCGCUGCUAAGCCUCAAAAACAGGAAGACCAGAUUAGAGUUGGCCACAAUCACCUGUACAGUUCUGAACAACAUCCUACGGGCGGAUGAGACGAAGAUCAGCUUUUAGCAGAAUAAUAAUAGGAAGAGAAGAGUAGGGUGAAGGGAAGGGACCGGUCGUGAGCUGACGCGUACUAUCUCAUCUUACGGCGUGGGCGUGUUAAUGAAACUGUUAAUGAAAUUCCCUUGUAUUUAUGGAUGAAGUCUAUAGGGCCAAAUUAUCAGCUCAGAUUCAGCCAAAUUCUCCGAAAUAAAAUUGCGCAGAUGGACAAUGACUCAAUGCACCGCUGUGAUUGGUACACCCUUCACCCGAUGUGCAUGAAUAUACCCUUCAGUUAAAGCUGAAAGUCAGCACUUUGAGUGCUCUAAUAUACUGUGGCAGACAGAUAAAAUAAUAACUUUCUCUCUGUCCAAACAGUUAUUCUGUAAUCUGCAAUAUUAGAGGAGAGACGAUAAAACUGUUCUGGGAUCAGCCCGUUCCUCACUCUGUAAUCUGUAACAUUAGAGGAGAAACUAUAAAACUGUUCUGGGAUCAGCUCGUUCCUAACUCUGUAGUCUGUAACAUUAGAGGAGAAACUAUAAAACUGUUCUGGGAUCAGCCCGUUCCUCACUCUGUAAUCUGUAAUAUUAUAGGAGAAACUAUAAAACUGUUCUGGGAUCAGCCUGUUCCUCACACUGUAACAUUAGAGGAGAAAUUAUUAAACUGUUCUGGGAUCAGCCUGUUCCUCACUCUGUAAUCUGUAAUAUUAGAGGAGAAACUAUAAAACUGUUCUGGAAUCAGCCCGUUCCUCACACUGUAAUCUGUAAUAUUAGAGGAGAAACUAUAAAACUGUUCGGGGAUCAGCUCGUUCCUCGCUCUGUAGUCUGUAACAUUAGAGGAAAAACUAUAAAACUGUUCUGGGAUCAGCUCAUUCCUCACUGUAAUCUGUAACAUUAGAGAAGAAACUAUAAAACUGCUCUGGGAUCAGAUCGUUCCUCACUCCAUAACAUUAGAGGAGAAACUAUAAAACUGUUCUGGGAUCAGCCCGUUCCUCGCUCUGUAGUCUGUAACAUUAGAGGAGAAUCUAUAAUAUUGUUCUGGGAUCAGUUCGUUCGUCACACCGUAAUAUGUAAUAUUAGAGGAGAAACUAUAAAACUGUUCUGGGAUCAGCCCGUUCCUCACUCUGUAACAUUAGAGGAGAAACUAUAUAAUUGUUCUGGGAUGAGCGAGACGGACUCUGUACCAAGCCGGCGUGGUUCUCCCUCAGCUCUGCAUUCCGUUAUAAAUGCGGUGUCGUGCGUCGUUGCUGCUCUGACUGACGCAGGCAAGCAUGUUCAUUUGUAGCUCGCUGUCUCACUCCCACCUCAGGCUUCUCCCUGUGGGGUUCGGAGCCGGGAGACACACACUGAUCUUCCAGCGAAGGACAAACAAGUCCCAUGUCUGACUGUCAGCUCGGUGUCACUUCCCAUCAAUCCCAGAGUCUCCGUGAAACAACACGUCGCUCUCCAUCGGGGCACGGCUUUCCAAACAUGCAGGAAAUAUUGACUAUUUAUACUGAGUGUGCGGUGUGGCAUCUGCCCGAGUGCGAGCGUCUCUAAAGGCUAGCCGUAACAUCGUAGCACUGUUCACGCUAGCUGUGGGCAGUAUCAAAUUGGAUCACAUGACAUCAGUACAACGCUUUACGUUAGCUAAUGUUAGCUAGCUUGCUAGUGACAUGUUUCAUUCUUCUUAUACCACAGCAAUUUCCUGCCAAUAACAAUCUUGUGAAAGAAGAAAGAACGUUUCAUAGUUUUAACGUUGUGCAAUGUCCUAUAAAACCG
Long non-coding RNA from Ictalurus punctatus (channel catfish), 2101 nucleotides. Lineage: Eukaryota; Metazoa; Chordata; Actinopteri; Siluriformes; Ictaluridae. The record is from Ensembl.